AAGGAUGUGGCUAAGUGGUAGAGGGCUUGCCUGGCCCGUAUAAGGCCCUGGGUUCAAUUCCCAGCAAUAUUU
Molecule: transfer RNA, 72 nt
Filed under: Ictidomys tridecemlineatus (thirteen-lined ground squirrel)
Lineage: Eukaryota; Metazoa; Chordata; Mammalia; Rodentia; Sciuridae
Description: Spermophilus tridecemlineatus (thirteen-lined ground squirrel) tRNA
Rfam family: tRNA
About the family: Transfer RNA (tRNA) molecules are approximately 80 nucleotides in length.
Source: Rfam by way of RNAcentral